CGUCGUACAGCAAACAUGGCGGCCUCCAGUGGAAAAACCGUGGGAUAUUUUCUUUGGAAAUUCGAAAAUUGCUGCUUCAAUUUUAACACAGUCUCGUCAAAUUUAACUGGCCAGGUAAUGCCAAGAGUUUAAUUCGGUAUGUUUUCACGGUAAUGUCAACGGGGUUGAGCUGCAGAGAAGGUGCUGUCCAGACAGCUAUAUGUGAGUGCUGUUCUCCACAGGAAGAACCUGGCUGCAGCGGGCCCAGAGAUGUUCUCAGAGGAGUUCAUCAAGAAGCAGGUGGAGGAGUUCAACAUCGGGAAGAGACAUCUAGCCAACAUGAUGUGAGAGGACCCUGAGACCUUCACUCAGGGGGACAUUCAUAGAAGCAUUGCAUACCCGUUCCCCUCAUACCCGUUCCCCUCAUACCUGUU
Long non-coding RNA from Oncorhynchus keta (chum salmon), 413 nucleotides. RefSeq lists it as uncharacterized. The transcript is spliced from 3 exons. NCBI's taxonomy places the organism in Eukaryota, Metazoa, Chordata, Actinopteri, Salmoniformes, Salmonidae. The record is from RefSeq and is a predicted model, not a curated record.